This 425-nucleotide ribosomal RNA is filed under the name uncultured Barnesiella sp. Its description in RNAcentral is "bacterial SSU rRNA". It matches the Rfam family "Bacterial small subunit ribosomal RNA", at positions 355 to 794 of the family's 1533-position model. The record is from RNAcentral. Lineage: Bacteria; Pseudomonadati; Bacteroidota; Bacteroidia; Bacteroidales; Barnesiellaceae.
UGGGGAAUAUUGGGGCAAUGGGGCGCAAGCCUGACCCAGCAACGCCGCGUGAAGGAAGAAGGCUUUCGAGUUGUAAACUUCUUUUUUAGGGACGAAGCAAGUGACGGUACCUAAGGAAUAAGCCACGGCUAACUCCGUGCCAGCAGCCGCGGUAAUACGGAGGAUGCGAGCGUUAUCCGGAUUUAUUGGGUUUAAAGGGUGCGCAGGCGGCGCGCCAAGUCAGCGGUCAAAGUUCCGGGCUCAACCCGGUGUCGCCGUUGAAACUGGCGUGCUCGAGUGCGUGCGAGGAAGGCGGAAUGCGUUGUGUAGCGGUGAAAUGCAUAGAUAUGACGCAGAACUCCGAUUGCGAAGGCAGCUUUCCAGCGCGCUACUGACGCUGAGGCACGAAAGCGUGGGGAUCGAACAGGAUUAGAUACCCUGGUAGU